GGCUUUGCUUUGGGCUUCCCCAAAAGGCCUCAUACCAAUAGAGAUAGUAUUCCUCAUUUAUAAACCCAUUAUCCUCCAUUAAAUUAACCAUGGGACUCACUCUCAAUAAUCCUCAACAUCAUUCCUGUUUGAAAGCACUUCUGUUUUUUUGAAUUUUGAAUGAUUUCCCUUCUAGCUGAUUCUCAUAUCACAUCAUCGCUUGUUUCGUUUCAUUUUUCUUUGAUUUUGAUGUUUUGGUUGCAUGCACAAAACACUCGGAGAAGACAAGAUGGAGGAAUGGUUUCACAAUUUGAAGGCUAAUGCUAGACUUCCGGACAAAAUUUGGUUCAUUUUCACAUGAAAUCUGACCAAAUAGACGGGAACUGAAGCAUUUGGUUUAACUACAUCCAACAAAAUACAGUAAAGAGCUUGAUCGCUGAUUCUCCUCCGGGUGCUCCCUUUGGAGGCAGCCUUGAUAUUAGAAGACUCUUACAGAUGUGCAGUGGCAG
Molecule: long non-coding RNA, 488 nt
Organism: Cucurbita maxima (winter squash)
Lineage: Eukaryota; Viridiplantae; Streptophyta; Magnoliopsida; Cucurbitales; Cucurbitaceae
Exons: 3
Source: RefSeq, a predicted model, not a curated record